Molecule: ribosomal RNA, 253 nt
Filed under: uncultured bacterium
Lineage: Bacteria
Description: partial 16S ribosomal RNA
Rfam family: Bacterial small subunit ribosomal RNA
Source: RNAcentral
UACGAAGGGGGCUAGCGUUGCUCGGAAUUACUGGGCGUAAAGGGCGCGUAGGCGGGUCGUUUAGUUAGAGGUGAAAGCCCAGGGCUCAACCCUGGAAUUGCCUUUAAUACUGGCGGCCUUGAGUAUGGCAGAGGUGUGUGGAACUCCGAGUGUAGAGGUGAAAUUCGUAGAUAUUCGGAAGAACACCAGUGGCGAAGGCGACACACUGGGCCAUUACUGACGCUGAGGCGCGAAAGCAUGGGGAGCGAACAGG